Molecule: non-coding RNA, 29 nt
Filed under: Rattus norvegicus (Norway rat)
Lineage: Eukaryota; Metazoa; Chordata; Mammalia; Rodentia; Muridae
Source: RNAcentral
UACUACCUGUAGGAUAAUGCACUUCCUAU